AGAGUUUGAUCCGUGCUCAGACGACGCUGGCGGCGCGCCUAACACAUGCAAGUCGAACGGGACUAUACUGGAAGAAGUUUUCGGAUGGAUUUCGGUAUAGUUUAGUGGCGGACGGGUGAGUAACACGUGAGCAACCUGCCUUCGAGAGGGGAAUAACGGCUGGAAACGGUCGCUAAUACCGCAUAACAUACUGGGAGGACAUCCUGCUGGUAUCAAAGAUUUAUCGCUCGAAGAUGGGCUCGCGUCCGAUUAGGUAGUUGGUGAGGUAACGGCUCACCAAGCCGACGAUCGGUAGCCGGACUGAGAGGUUGAACGGCCACAUUGGGACUGAGACACGGCCCAGACUCCUACGGGAGGCAGCAGUGGGGAUAUUGCACAAUGGGGGAAACCCUGAUGCAGCGACGCCGCGUGUGGGAAGACGGUCCUCUGGAUUGUAAACCACUGUCCCCAGGGACGAAAAUGACGGUACCUGGGGGAGGAAGCUCCGGCUAACUACGUG
This 499-nucleotide ribosomal RNA is filed under the name uncultured Oscillospiraceae bacterium. RNAcentral describes it as "bacterial SSU rRNA". It matches the Rfam family "Bacterial small subunit ribosomal RNA", at positions 8 to 507 of the family's 1533-position model. The record is from RNAcentral. Lineage: Bacteria; Bacillati; Bacillota; Clostridia; Eubacteriales; Oscillospiraceae.